Molecule: unclassified non-coding RNA, 344 nt
Filed under: soil metagenome
Description: partial contains 5.8S ribosomal RNA, internal transcribed spacer 2, and large subunit ribosomal RNA
Rfam family: 5.8S ribosomal RNA (bases 1-120)
Source: RNAcentral
GAUGAAGAACGUAGCGAAAUGCGAUACGUAAUGUGAAUUGCAGAAUUCAGUGAAUCAUCGAGUCUUUGAACGCACAUUGCGCCCCCUGGUAUUCCGGGGGGCAUGCCUGUCCGAGCGUCAUUGCUGCCCUCAAGCACGGCUUGUGUGUUGGGCCUCCGUCCUCCUCCGGGGGACGGGCCCGAAAGGCAGCGGCGGCACCGCGUCCGGUCCUCGAGCGUAUGGGGCUUCGUCACCCGCUCUUGUAGGCCCGGCCGGCGCUUGCCGACACAUCAAUCUUUUUUCCAGGUUGACCUCGGAUCAGGUAGGGAUACCCGCUGAACUUAAGCAUAUCAAUAAGCGGAGGA